RNAcentral lists this ribosomal RNA (293 nucleotides) under uncultured bacterium. Its description in RNAcentral is "partial 16S ribosomal RNA". It matches the Rfam family "Bacterial small subunit ribosomal RNA", at positions 28 to 324 of the family's 1533-position model. The record is from RNAcentral.
GACGAACGCUGGCGGCGUGCUUAACACAUGCAAGUCGAGCGAGGCCCUGCCUUCGGGAAGGUGUCCUAGCGGCGAACGGGUGAGUAACACGUGGGCAACCUGCCCUCAGCUCUGGGAUAACUCCGGGGAAACCGGGCUAAUACCGGAUGCGACCUCAUGGGGCAUCCCUCGAGGUGGAAAGUUUUUCGGCUGAGGAUGGGCCCGCGGCCUAUCAGCUUGUUGGUGGGGUGACGGCCACCAAGGCGACGACGGGUAGCCGGCCUGAGAGGGUGACCGGCACACUGGGACUGAGA